Molecule: ribosomal RNA, 459 nt
Filed under: uncultured bacterium
Lineage: Bacteria
Description: partial 16S ribosomal RNA
Rfam family: Bacterial small subunit ribosomal RNA
Source: RNAcentral
CCUACGGGAGACUGCAGUGAGGAAUAUUGGUCAAUGGGCGCGAGCCUGAACCAGCCAAGUCGCGUGAGGGAAGACGGUCCUAUGGAUUGUAAACCUCUUUUGUCGGGGAGCAAAAGACGCCACGCGUGGCGUUCCGAGAGUACCCGAAGAAAAAGCAUCGGCUAACUCCGUGCCAGCAGCCGCGGUAAUACGGAGGAUGCGAGCGUUAUCCGGAUUUAUUGGGUUAAAAGGGUGCGCAGGCGGAAGAUCAAGACAGCGGUAAAAUUGAGAGGCUCAACCUCUUCGAGCCGUUGAAACUGGUUUGCUUGAGUGAGCGAGAAGUAUGCGGAAUGCGUGGUGUAGCGGUGAAAUGCAUAGAUAUCACGCAGAACUCCGAUUGCGAAGGCAGCAUACCGGCGCUCAACUGACGCUCAUGCACGAAAGUGUGGGUAUCGAACAGGAUUAGAUACCCUUGUAGUC